GGAGGGGUGCUAGAGCGGUUGAAUAGGACGGUCUCGAAAACCGUUGUGCGCGCAAGCGUACCGUGGGUUCGAAUCCCACCCCCUCCGCCA
RNAcentral lists this transfer RNA (90 nucleotides) under Alphaproteobacteria bacterium. RNAcentral's name for it is "tRNA-Ser". It matches the Rfam family "tRNA". From Rfam's summary of the family: Transfer RNA (tRNA) molecules are approximately 80 nucleotides in length. Their secondary structure includes four short double-helical elements and three loops (D, anti-codon, and T loops). Further hydrogen bonds mediate the characteristic L-shaped molecular structure. tRNAs have two regions of fundamental functional importance: the anti-codon, which is responsible for specific mRNA codon recognition, and the 3' end, to which the tRNAs corresponding amino acid is attached (by aminoacyl-tRNA synthetases). tRNAs cope with the degeneracy of the genetic code in two manners: having more than one tRNA (with a specific anti-codon) for a particular amino acid; and 'wobble' base-pairing, i.e. permitting non-standard base-pairing at the 3rd anti-codon position. The record is from RNAcentral. RNAcentral also lists the same sequence under 1 other name. Lineage: Bacteria; Pseudomonadati; Pseudomonadota; Alphaproteobacteria.